This 510-nucleotide long non-coding RNA is filed under the name Rattus norvegicus (Norway rat). Its description in RNAcentral is "long non-coding RNA NONRATT033679". Lineage: Eukaryota; Metazoa; Chordata; Mammalia; Rodentia; Muridae. The record is from RNAcentral.
GGGCUUCUCGUCCACUGUGGUAAAGGUUGGCUUUCUGAGAUCUGGUUUCCCCUCUUUGUUCUAGAAAAGGAAACUGAGGCAGAGAGGAAAAAUCAAUUAAGACAGUCAUCUGGGACAGAGUCAUCGCUUAGACCCUCCCCCUCACCCCCUCUUGUUUUCAUGGAGAUGGUAGACUGAGGGGUCCAUUCACCCUGGGAUAAGUCCUUGAUGAUAGCAGAGGAGUCUGUGAGGUAUUGCCAAGCCCAGACAGCACCAUGGAGAGACAAGAACAUAUGGCAGUUGUCCCAGGAUGACAGUGUGACCCAGGACACCAAGAACAUGGGACUUGCAGCUCUGAGUUUUUGGACAACAGGACUCCUGUGCACUGGCCCAGCAGAUGGACUGGUCCCUGUCAUGGAGGGCCUUCUCUGAGCUCCAUGGCACCAAUGAUGGUGUGACAUAGCAGGUAAGGGGGGGGGGGGAUGAGGCUCUUCAUCCCUGGCUUGUUUCAGAAUACUUCUUUGUGUUUGU